Molecule: ribosomal RNA, 442 nt
Filed under: uncultured bacterium
Lineage: Bacteria
Description: SSU rRNA
Rfam family: Bacterial small subunit ribosomal RNA
Source: RNAcentral
AGAACGAACGCUGGCGGCAUGCCUAACACAUGCAAGUCGAACGAGACCUUCGGGUCUAGUGGCGCACGGGUGCGUAACGCGUGGGAAUCUGCCCUUAGGUACGGAAUAACAGUGAGAAAUUACUGCUAAUACCGUAUGAUGUCUUCGGACCAAAGAUUUAUCGCCUAGGGAUGAGCCCGCGUUGGAUUAGCUAGUUGGUGGGGUAAAGGCCUACCAAGGCGACGAUCCAUAGCUGGUCUGAGAGGAUGAUCAGCCACACUGGGACUGAGACACGGCCCAGACUCCUACGGGAGGCAGCAGUGGGGAAUAUUGGACAAUGGGCGAAAGCCUGAUCCAGCAAUGCCGCGUGAGUGAAGAAGGCCUUCGGGUUGUAAAGCUCUUUUACCGGGAAGAUAAUGACUGUACCGGAGAAUAAGCCCGCUAACUCCGUGCCAGCAGCCGC